AGCUCCAAUAGCGUAUAUUAAAGUUGUUGCAGUUAAAAAGCUCGUAGUUGGAUUUCGGGGCGGCCUGGCUGGUCCGUCGCGAGACGAGUACUGGUCAGCCGCCCUUCCUCUCGAAAGCCCCGACUGCUCUUCACUGCAGUGGUCGGGUAGUUCGGGACGUUUACUUUGAAAAAAUUAGAGUGUUCAAGGCAGGCUUUCGCCUGAAUACAUUAGCAUGGAAUAAUGGAAUAGGACUACGGUCCCUAUUUCGUUGGUUUGACGGACCGAAGUAAUGAUUAAGAGGGACAAUUGGGGGCAUCCGUAUUUCGUAGUCAGAGGUGAAAUUCUUGGACCUACGAAAGACGAACAACUGCGAAAGCAUUUGCCAAGAGUGUUUUCAUUAAUCAAGAACGAAAGUAGG
RNAcentral lists this ribosomal RNA (400 nucleotides) under phytoplankton environmental sample. RNAcentral's name for it is "partial small subunit ribosomal RNA". It matches the Rfam family "Eukaryotic small subunit ribosomal RNA", at positions 587 to 993 of the family's 1831-position model. The record is from RNAcentral.